UGGGGAAUAUUGCACAAUGGGGGAAACCCGUGAUGCAGCGACGCCGCGUGAAGGAAGAAGUAUCUCGGUAUGUAAACUUCUAUCAGCAGGGAAGAAAAUGACGGUACCUGACUAAGAAGCACCGGCUAAAUACGUGCCAGCAGCCGCGGUAAUACGUAUGGUGCAAGCGUUAUCCGGAUUUACUGGGUGUAAAGGGAGCGUAGACGGAGAGGCAAGUCUGAUGUGAAAACCCGGGGCUAACCCCGGGACUGCAUUGGAAACUGUACUUCUGGAGUGCCGGAGAGGUAAGCGGAAUUCCUAGUGUAGCGGUGAAAUGCGUAGAUAUUAGGAGGAACACCAGUGGCGAAGGCGGCUUACUGGACGGUAACUGACGUUGAGGCUCGAAAGCGUGGGGAGCAAACAGGAUUAGAUACCC
This 415-nucleotide ribosomal RNA is filed under the name uncultured bacterium. Its description in RNAcentral is "bacterial SSU rRNA". It matches the Rfam family "Bacterial small subunit ribosomal RNA", at positions 355 to 787 of the family's 1533-position model. The record is from RNAcentral.